This 25-nucleotide non-coding RNA is filed under the name Mus musculus (house mouse). The record is from RNAcentral. Lineage: Eukaryota; Metazoa; Chordata; Mammalia; Rodentia; Muridae.
AAAUGCUCUAACCUUGACCUACAUC